This 1734-nucleotide long non-coding RNA is filed under the name Macaca fascicularis (crab-eating macaque). Its description in RNAcentral is "lncRNA (ENSMFAG00000053841.1)". The record is from RNAcentral. Lineage: Eukaryota; Metazoa; Chordata; Mammalia; Primates; Cercopithecidae.
GAGAGAAAGAGAGAAAGAGAGAGAAACCAGGAAAAUGACUACCAGGAGGGUCUGUGGACCUAAUGGACAUACUGUGAAGCUGGUCAUGGCUGGGACUAACUAUACUUAUUACUUGACCCCGUAUUCCACCACCCUAGCAAGGCACCAUGAUGAUGCUUGAGUUUCCUUGGUAUCAAUGUCAAUGUGGACUCUAUGUUCAACUGUUCUCAAAAUACCUGCAUUCUUUCCCCAGUGUCUGAUUACUCAAGUUCUCCCUGUAGAAGGGCUGGUGGAACCUUAUCCUGUCCAUGUGCCAGCUGAUGCAGCGUCCUUCUUCAUUCGGUAGGUUCUAGAUCUUAACUUAGGCUGGAAACUGGACAAAGGAUCAUGACUUUAUUGGGUGGUUGAUGUUUUAAAAUAAGCUCUUGGGCCAGGCACGGUGGCUCAUGCCUGUAAUCCCAAUACUUUGGGAGGCUGAGGCAGGCGGAUCACCUUAGGUCAGGAGUUCCAGACCAGCCUGACCAAUGAGGAGAAGCCCCCAUCUCUACUAAAAAUACAAAAUCAGCUGGGCGUGGUGGUGCAUGCCUGUAAUCUCAGCUGCUCGGGAGACUGAGGCAGGAGAAUCGCUUGAACCCAGGAGGUGGAGGUUGUGGUGAUCCAAGAUCGCACCACUGCACUCCAGCCUGGGCAACAAGAGCGAAACUCUGUCUCAAAAAAAUAAAAUAAAAUAAAAUAAAAUAAGCUCUCUUUGACUGCCCAUCUAUCUUACCACUAGGAAUAUUAUGUUCUAUUAACCAUUUCCGGCUUGGCACGGUAGCUCAUACUUGUAAUCCCAACACUUUGGGAGGCCAAGGCGGGCAGAUCACUUGAGUGCAGGAGUUCAAGACCAGCCUGGGCAACAUGGUGAAACCCCAUCUUUACUAUUAAAAAUAUAUCUUAGGCUGGGCGUGGUGGCUCACGCUUGUAAUCCCAGCACUUUGGGAGGCUGAGGCAGGUGGAUCAUGAGGUCAGGAGUUCAAGACCAGCCUGGCCAACAUAGUGAAACCCCAUCUCUACUGAAAAUACAAAAAUUAGCCGGGUGUUGCGGCAUGCACCUGUAGUCCCAGCUACUUGGGAGGCUGAAGCAGGAGAAUUGCUUGAACCCAGGAGGCAGAGGUUGCAGUGAGCCGAGAUCGUGCCACCGCACUCCAGCCUGAGUGACAGAGCAAGACUCGGUCUCCAAAAACAAAACGAAACAAAACAAAAAAAUAUAUGUAUACCAUGCCCACCUUCUGACAGAUAAGUGCUGCUAUCAGAGGAGUUGAAACCAGAGCAACUCCAUCUUGAAUAGGGGCUGGGUAAAAUGACGCUGAGACCCACUGGGCUGCAUUCUCAGUUAGGCAUUCUAAGUCACAGGAUGAGAUAGGAGGUCGGCACAAGAUACAGGUCAUAAAGACUUUGCUGAUAAAACAGUUUGCAGUAAAGAAGCCGGCUAAAUCCCACCAAAACCAAGAUGGUGAUGAAAGUGUCCUCUGGUUGUCCUCACUGCUACACUUCCAUCAGUGCCAUGAUAGUUUACAAAUGCCAUGGUAAUGUCAGGAAGUUACCCUAUAUGGUCUAAAAAGGGGAGGCAUGAAUAAUCCACCCCCUGUUUAGCAUAUCAUCAAGAAAUAACCAUACGAAUGGGCAACCAGCAACCCUUGGGGCUGCUCUGUCUGUGGAGUAACCAUUCUUUUAUUCUUCUACUUUCUUAAUAAACUUGCUUUCACUUUACUC